UACAGAGGGGGCAAGCGUUGUCCGGAAUUACUAGGCGUAAAGGGCUCGUAGGUGGCCAACUAAGUCAGACGUGAAAUCCCUCGGCUUAACCGGGGAACUGCGUCUGAUACUGGAUGGCUGGAGUAUGGGAGAGGGAUGCGGAAUUCCAGGUGUAGCGGUGAAAUGCGUAGAUAUCUGGAGGAACACCGGUGGCGAAGGCGGCAUCCUGGACCAUUACUGACGCUGAGGAGCGAAAGCCAGGGGAGCAAACGGG
RNAcentral lists this ribosomal RNA (253 nucleotides) under uncultured bacterium. Its description in RNAcentral is "partial 16S ribosomal RNA". It matches the Rfam family "Bacterial small subunit ribosomal RNA", at positions 524 to 776 of the family's 1533-position model. The record is from RNAcentral.